UUUCUUACCUUAUAAAUGUUAAGAUUUCCACUACAGAUGUAAGAAAAAGAAGGUCCUUGAGCUUUCUGUCUGGUUGUGGCAGCCAAGAUUGAAUGGGGAAUACAGGA
RNAcentral lists this small nucleolar RNA (107 nucleotides) under Dasypus novemcinctus (nine-banded armadillo). RNAcentral describes it as "Small nucleolar RNA SNORA31 (ENSDNOG00000029948.1)". Lineage: Eukaryota; Metazoa; Chordata; Mammalia; Cingulata; Dasypodidae. The record is from RNAcentral.